This 22-nucleotide microRNA is filed under the name Homo sapiens (human). Its description in RNAcentral is "hsa-miR-6722-3p". The record is from miRBase by way of RNAcentral. Lineage: Eukaryota; Metazoa; Chordata; Mammalia; Primates; Hominidae.
UGCAGGGGUCGGGUGGGCCAGG